AGAAUCAACGCUGGCGGCGUGCCUAACACAUGCAAGUCGAACGAGAAAGUGGAGCAAUCCAUGAGUAAAGUGGCGCACGGGUGAGUAACACGUGACUAACCUACCCUUGAGUGGGGGAUAACCUAGGGAAACCUGGGCUAAUACCGCAUAAUACCGAGAGGUCAAAGGAGCAAUUCGCUUAAGGAGGGGGUCGCGGGCCGAUUAGUUAGUUGGCGGGGUAAUGGCCCACCAAGACUAUGAUCGGUA
RNAcentral lists this ribosomal RNA (246 nucleotides) under uncultured bacterium. Its description in RNAcentral is "partial small subunit ribosomal RNA". It matches the Rfam family "Bacterial small subunit ribosomal RNA", at positions 26 to 285 of the family's 1533-position model. The record is from RNAcentral.